GUGCCAGCAGCCGCGGUAAUACCGGCAGCCCGAGUGAUGGCCGAUCUUAUUGGGCCUAAAGCGUCCGUAGCUGGCUGCGCAAGUCCGUUGGGAAAUCGACGCGCCUAACACGUCGGCGUCCAGCGGAAACUGUCCGGCUUGGGGCCGGAAGAUCCGAGGGGUACGUCCGGGGUAGGAGUGAAAUCCCAUACUCCCGCACGGACCACCGAUGGCGAAAGCACUUCGAGAAAACGGAUCCGACAGUGAGGGACGAAAGCCAGGGUCUCCAACCGGAUUAGAUACCCCAGUAGUUC
This 293-nucleotide ribosomal RNA is filed under the name uncultured bacterium. Its description in RNAcentral is "partial 16S ribosomal RNA". It matches the Rfam family "Archaeal small subunit ribosomal RNA", at positions 455 to 747 of the family's 1478-position model. The record is from RNAcentral.